Molecule: long non-coding RNA, 687 nt
Organism: Homo sapiens (human)
Lineage: Eukaryota; Metazoa; Chordata; Mammalia; Primates; Hominidae
Exons: 2
Source: RefSeq, a predicted model, not a curated record
AGGAAUACAGUCUCUGUGGCCAGUCUCCUUGGAUCAACAAGAGCCUUGUAGUUUCCCAUUUUUCAUGUGCUAAUAGUGAAAAUGUUUAGAAAGCCCCAUCUAUCCUCCCACAUUGGCAUCCCACUGAUGUGCUGUCCUGGUUGCUAGGUGCAGAUUUAGGUUCCAAGCAGAACACUGCUAGUGUUCUCUGCAGUUUGUUGUAGAAUCAUAGUGUCUUGGCAACCAAAGGCAGAUCUGGUGCUAUGGAGGACCUGCUUACUGCUAUGAGGUGUUACUUUAUAGAGGUCCUGGAGAAGCUGAUUGAGGCCACGUCAAUGUUGCAAGGAGACAUGAGACUCACAUCAGAGUUCUAUGGCUUAACAUGGGGGAUGGUGUGAAAAGAAACAGAGAUCGUUGGAGAAAUGUCUGAUUAUAAGAUAUUUCUAAGCCUGGUGAAGAAAUAUAUAAGAGAAGCCUGGAGAAGAACCAGUAAUACCAGAAAUCAGGGAGGGGCCCUGAAGAGAAAAGGAUAACAAAAGGAUGAAGACCUGUCCAAGGGACCCAGCAGCUAACUUGAAAGAGCUCUCAAUGGGUAAAGCUGGAGCAAUUUCAACAACAAAAUAAAUAACAUAUCACUGGAUUAUAACCUGAAGUAUAAAACGUAUGAGUCCAUACUCUUAUAAAUAAAUGAUUGAAUAAAUACAUAAA